CAGUAGCCACGGUAAUACGGAGGGUGCAAGCGUUAAUCGGAAUUACUGGGCGUAAAGCGUGCGUAGGCGGUUCGUUAAGUCUGUUGUGAAAGCCCCGGGCUCAACCUGGGAAUGGCAAUGGAUACUGGCGAGCUAGAGCGUGUCAGAGGAUGGUGGAAUUCCCGGUGUAGCGGUGAAAUGCGUAGAGAUCGGGAGGAACAUCAGUGGCGAAGGCGGCCAUCUGGGACAACACUGACGCUGAGGCACGAAAGCGUGGGGAGCAAACAGGAUUAGAUACCCCUGUAGUCCCUGUCUCUUAUAC
RNAcentral lists this ribosomal RNA (301 nucleotides) under uncultured bacterium. RNAcentral describes it as "partial 16S ribosomal RNA". It matches the Rfam family "Bacterial small subunit ribosomal RNA", at positions 509 to 807 of the family's 1533-position model. The record is from RNAcentral.